CCUACGGGCGGCAGCAGUGAGGAAUAUUGGUCAAUGGACGAGAGUCUGAACCAGCCAAGUAGCGUGAAGGAUGACUGCCCUAUGGGUUGUAAACUUCUUUUAUAUGGGAAUAAAAUGUUCCACGUGUGGGAUUUUGUAUGUACCAUAUGAAUAAGGAUCGGCUAACUCCGUGCCAGCAGCCGCGGUAAUACGGAGGAUCCGAGCAUUAUCCGGAUUUAUUGGGUUUAAAGGGAGCGUAGGUGGAUUGUUAAGUCAGUUGUGAAAGUUUGCGGCUCAACCGUAAAAUUGCAGUUGAAACUGGCAGUCGUGAGUACAGUAGAGGUGGGCGGAAUUCGUGGUGUAGCGGUGAAAUGCUUAGAUAUCACGAAGAACUCCGAUUGCGAAGGCAGCUCACUGGACUGCAACUGACACUGAGGCUCGAAAGUGUGGGUAUCAAACAGGAUUAGAUACCCCUGUAGUC
This 460-nucleotide ribosomal RNA is filed under the name uncultured bacterium. RNAcentral's name for it is "partial 16S ribosomal RNA". It matches the Rfam family "Bacterial small subunit ribosomal RNA", at positions 338 to 795 of the family's 1533-position model. The record is from RNAcentral.